CCCUGAUUCUGCCUGGAAUGUCCUAGAUCGUGAUCUCCAGCUUUGUGGUAGAUGUCUCUGAAAUUCUGUGACUUGAUCUAGUGGCUCUGGACUAAUCCUCAUAAAUUCUACAAUUCGACCCAGUGGUCCUGGGGUUGUCCCUGGAGAUUUCAUACUUUGAUUCUUUGACUUUGUUAGCCCCAUUGAUACCUCCCUGUGCUGCCGUGCCUCAGAGGUGAGCUCUACAGAUUCUUCAUGUCCUAUAACUUGACUUGUUUGCUUCAGGGGCACCUCUAAAGAUUCCUCCAUUUGUAGCCAUUGCUUACAGGUCAGAUUUACAGAUUCUGGGACUUGAUGUCCUAACCCUGAUAUUAUCCCUGGAGAUCCCACAUGAUGCUGUGGUUUGGGGGUUAAUUGCAAAGUUUUCUCUACCUGCACUCCUGACUUAGAAGUCAACUCCACAGAUUCAGGAACUCGAUGUCCUAACCCAGGUGUCAUCCCUGAAGCAGAAUCUGGGACGUGAUGUAAUGACUUUGGAAUCAAUACCACAGAUUCUUCCCCUUGCAGUCUUUUCUCAGAGAUCACCUCCACACAUUCUAAGUUUUGAGGACAGAGCCUUGGGGAUCUCUCUGCAAAUCCAGUGGCUUGACUUGUUGGCUUUGGGGUCAUUCCAAAGAAUUCAUUUGCUUGUAUCCUUGCCUCAGCGGUCAACCCCAUAGCUUCUGUAAAGUAAUGCUUGAGUUCCGGAGUAAUCCCUUCAUAUUCCACAGUUUGCUGCAGUGGCUUCAUAUAUAACUCCCCCACAUCCUUAACUCGGGGCCGUGACUGAGAGAGCAAUUCCAUAGUUUCUAGGAUUUGGUAGCUUUUCUCUGGAGUUAAUCCUAAGAAUUUUGAGCCUUGAUCCCUUACCAUUGGAGUCAGAUCAACAAAUUUUGGUACCUGAAGAUCUGGCUGCAGCAGCAUCCCUAAGGAUUCCUUAGCUCUACCUGUUAGCUUUGGGGUCAACCCCACAGAUUUCUCUACAGUAUCUAUGCCUUUAUAUGCCAAUCCUUGUGCCAUUUCUGAAGAUUCUGUGGCGUGAUAAAUUGGUAUUGAAAUCAAAUUUGCAGAUUUAGGGAUUUGAUACUUUGGCUGUGGGAUCAUCUCUGCAUAUUUUGCAAACUGAUGCCCUGGUCUAGGGAUUAGUUCAGAGGAUUCCAUGAUUUGAUAAUUUGUUCUUGGAGUUUGCUCCCCAUAUUUCACUCUUUGAGGCAGUGACCCUGGUGCUAAUUCCACAGAUUUUAUAGUUUGCUGCAGAGACACUGAAGAUAAUUUCACAUGUUUUACGCUUUGCAACUUUGGCUCUACAGUAAACUCCAAAGAUUUCAC
Molecule: long non-coding RNA, 1347 nt
Filed under: Homo sapiens (human)
Lineage: Eukaryota; Metazoa; Chordata; Mammalia; Primates; Hominidae
Description: HSALNT0301295
Source: RNAcentral